CAUGCCGCGUGCAGGAAGACGGUCCUAUGGAUUGUAAACUGCUUUUAUACAGGAAGAAUAAGGACUACGUGUAGUCUGGUGACGGUACUGUAAGAAUAAGGACCGGCUAACUCCGUGCCAGCAGCCGCGGUAAUACGGAGGGUCCGAGCGUUAUCCGGAAUUAUUGGGUUUAAAGGGUCCGUAGGCGGGCUAUUAAGUCAGGGGUGAAAGUUUGCAGCUCAACUGUAGAAUUGCCUUUGAUACUGAUAGUCUUGAAUUAUUGUGAAGUGGUUAGAAUAUGUAGUGUAGCGGUGAAAUGCAUAGAUAUUACAUAGAAUACCGAUUGCGAAGGCAGAUCACUAACAAUAUAUUGACGCUGAUGGACGAAAGCGUGGGUAGCGAACAGGAUUAGAUACCCUGGUAGUCCACGCCGAUAAACGAUGGAUACUAGCUGUCGGUUUUCGGACUGAGCGGCCAAGCGAAAGUGAUAAGUAUCCCACCUGGGGAGUACGUUCGCAAAGAAUGAACACUCAAAGGAAUUGACGGGGGCCCGCACAAAGCGGUGGAGCAUGUGGUUUAAAUCGAUGAAUACCGCGAGGAACCUUACCAGGGGCUU
Molecule: ribosomal RNA, 595 nt
Filed under: Cytophaga sp. UST050418-392
Lineage: Bacteria; Pseudomonadati; Bacteroidota; Cytophagia; Cytophagales; Cytophagaceae
Description: bacterial SSU rRNA
Rfam family: Bacterial small subunit ribosomal RNA
Source: RNAcentral